GUGCCAGCAGCCGCGGUAAUUCCAGCUCCAAUAGCGUAUAUUAAAGUUGUUGUGGUUAAAAAGCUCGUAGUUGAACCUUGGGCCUGGCUGGCCGGUCCGCCUCACCGCGUGCACUGGUCCGGCCGGGCCUUUCCCUCUGUGGAACCCCAUACCCUUCACUGGGCGUGGCGGGGAAACAGGACAUUUACUUUGAAAAAAUUAGAGUGCUCCAGGCAGGCCUAUGCUCGAAUACAUUAGCAUGGAAUAAUAAAAUAGGACGCGCGGUUCUAUUUUGUUGGUUUAUAGGACCGCCGUAAUGAUUAAUAGGGACAGUCGGGGGCAUCAGUAUUCAACUGUCAGAGGUGAAAUUCUUGGAUCAGUUGAAGACUAACUACUGCGAAAGCAUUUGCCAAGGAUGUUUUCAUUAAUCAGGAACGAAAGUUAGGGGAUCGAAGACGAUCAGAUACCGUCGUAGUCUUAACCAUAAACUACGCCGACUAGGGAUCGGACGGUGUUAUUCAUGACCCGUUCGGCACCUUACGAGAAAUCAAAGUGCUUGGGCUCCAGGGGGAGUAUGGUCGCAAGGCUGAAACUUAAAGAAAUUGACGGAAGGGCACCACCAGGGGUGGAGCCUGCGGCUUAAUUUGACUCAACACGGGGAAACUCACCAGGUCCAGACACAAUAAGGAUUGACAGAUUGAGAGCUCUUUCUUGAUUUUGUGGGUGGUGGUGCAUGACCGUUCUUAGUUGGUGGGGUGACUUGUCUGCUUAAUUGCGAUAACGAACGAGACCUUAACCUGCUAAAUAGCCCGCAUGCUCCGGCAGUGCGCUGGCUUCUUAGAGGGACUUUCGGCUCAAGCCGAAGGAAGUUUGAGGCAAUAACAGGUCUGUGAUGCCCUU
RNAcentral lists this ribosomal RNA (879 nucleotides) under uncultured fungus. Its description in RNAcentral is "SSU rRNA". It matches the Rfam family "Eukaryotic small subunit ribosomal RNA", at positions 564 to 1474 of the family's 1831-position model. Lineage: Eukaryota; Fungi. The record is from RNAcentral.